This 253-nucleotide ribosomal RNA is filed under the name uncultured bacterium. Its description in RNAcentral is "partial 16S ribosomal RNA". It matches the Rfam family "Bacterial small subunit ribosomal RNA", at positions 524 to 776 of the family's 1533-position model. The record is from RNAcentral.
UACGUAGGGGGCAAGCGUUGUCCGGAAUCAUUGGGCGUAAAGCGCGUGUAGGCGGUUCGGUAAGUCCGCUGUGAAAGUCGGGGGCUCAACCCUCGAAAGCCGGUGGAUACUGUCGGGCUAGAGUGCGGAAGAGGCGAGUGGAAUUCCUGGUGUAGCGGUGAAAUGCGCAGAUAUCAGGAGGAACACCGAUGGCGAAGGCAGGUCUCUGGGCAUUAACUGACGCUGAGGAGCGAAAGCAUGGGGAGCGAACAGG